This 295-nucleotide ribosomal RNA is filed under the name uncultured bacterium. RNAcentral's name for it is "partial 16S ribosomal RNA". It matches the Rfam family "Bacterial small subunit ribosomal RNA", at positions 335 to 646 of the family's 1533-position model. The record is from RNAcentral.
GGCCUACGGGAGGCAGCAGUGGGGAAUAUUGGGCAAUGGGCGCAAGCCUGACCCAGCGACGCCGCGUGAGGGAAGACGGUCUUCGGAUUGUAAACCUCUUUCAGCAGGGAAGACAAAAGGACGGUACCUGCGGAAGAAGCCACGGCUAACUACGUGCCAGCAGCCGCGGUAAUACGUAGGUGGCAAGCGUUAUCCGGAAUUACUGGGUGUAAAGGGUGUGUAGGCGGGGUUGCAAGUCAGAUGUGAGAAUUAUGGGCUCAAACCAUAACCUGCGUCUGAAACUACAGAUCUUGAG